RNAcentral lists this long non-coding RNA (3974 nucleotides) under Sorghum bicolor (sorghum). RNAcentral's name for it is "long non-coding RNA (SBIC_LNC006907)". The record is from RNAcentral. Lineage: Eukaryota; Viridiplantae; Streptophyta; Magnoliopsida; Poales; Poaceae.
AUAAAAGUAAUAAAAGAACUCAGGAAUUAUGAGUUGAAGAACCUGGAGAACGAUGAAGAACGAACCAGUUGCUGCAAAAGUACAAUGUUGAGGAAGAUCCGACAGACCCGGCUCCUCCUUCGCUCUCCUCUUCUCUCUCCCUAUUUUCUAGAUUACAACUAGAACUAACUAAAACUAGAACUAGAGGAACUAGAACUAGAACUAGAUGAACUAGAACUAGAACUAGAUGAACUAGAGGUAGAACUAGAAGAACUAGAGGGAUCCUCUCUACUUGGAUGAAGAAUUGAAACCCUAACUUUGAUUCUGUAGAAGAGGUAUGCCUUCAGGGGCUGGUGGGGGUCUGCUUAUAUAGUCCAAGAAGAGUAGCCCCCAAGAAAUCUAGGAAGAGUAGCUCCCAAGAAAUCUAGGAAGAGUAGCUCCCAAGGAAUUUCCACGUUAUUCUCCACCAUCCGAUCAAACCGACCUUAAUCGUGUGAUUUUCCUUGAUCCUUAGAGUCGGUGGAGCAUAAUCCCCGAGACUCGUGCUGAUUGGCCAGCAGAGGAGGGCGGGCGCCCUGCCUCCGAGCCCGAUCGCCUCCCCGUUUGUUCCCGUGGCUUCUGGAGUCUUCUAGAUGGUAGAAAAUUGCGCGGCACGUUAAUAUCUCUAUGUAAACCCGACGUAUGGGCCUUUCUUCCGUAUUUCUUGAUAACCCCCUGUAGAAAUAGACAACCACCAAAACUCGUGGAAUUCUGUCAGAUAAAACCCUAAGUCUAGGUGUUGGUUCCAUUUGGAUCCUUUUCUAUGAUUAGUUGAUGGUUAAAUGUGAGCAUUUAGGACCGUCAACAAGCUCCCCCAAGCUUAACCUUUGCUCGUCCCUGAGCAAAGAUGGACUCAAGAGUUUCUGUAGUGGUUUUAUGCCUUAAAAAUACACAUUCGUUCAAACAAGAUCUCAUCUCUGGGUUAGGGUAAUCUGUUAAGAUUUAAAACUUACUCAUUUUACCUUUCACCAUGGGACUUGUAACCGUCACUUCUGUCUUGAGUAGUUAAAAGAUAGAACAGUCUAGUCAAGCACCAUGUCUCUUGUUCUUCGAUUAACUAUAGCUUUGGAGUUUUUGCAGAUUUUCAAAUAAAACUCAGAGUUUCCUUGUAUGACUCUCUCUAGUCUCUUUUUUGUGGUAUUUCUGGAUCCUUACCAAGGCAGUAAUGGUAUAUGCCUUCUCUCAAAGUAUGUGGUAUUUGUGGUAUAAGGCAUAGUGGCAUUGCCUUCUCUCUCACCCUACUCUAAUAAGGCUUUUGAUAUCUGAAGCUCAUAGGUGGGAGACAGCUAAUACAUACUUACAAGACAUUUAUUGCAUAGUCAAACCAUGGAUCCAGAAGAACAAGUCAAUAAGUCAAAUCAAGAUGUGCAUGUGUGGCGAAUGAAUGGUGUAUGGUGAUGAUGGUGAUAACAAUGGUGAAAGCCUAAUUCUACUUGUGCUCUUUUGAGGGGAUACAUACCUUUCUUGCUCUUUUGAAACUUUUUGAGGAGAAUGAGAUGCUCUAUAUUUUUUUUCUCUCAGGUGGGUAUCUUGUACCCCUAAUUCUACUGUCGGACACUUGUCCAUUUUUACCUCUCGUCUCACUUUUUUUUUCUUUCGAGGUUCCGGGCACUUGCCCCUUUUUAUUUCCUCGUAUUAUUUUUUUUUCUCUCUUUUUUUUAGAGUACUCAUCUCAUGAGAUAAUAUAGCAAGUGGUAGUAACAAGAUAACUUGAGCAUUUAUUUCACAGGGAAAAACAGAAAUAUUUUUGGCUAUUCUCUCCCAGAUUAGGAGUAGAAUAUUUUUGGUGGUUCUGGAGAUGGAAAUGGAUAUAUAUGGAUGGUACUUUCGGAGUAGAAGUAGCAUGUGUGAGUGAACGUGCAAGUGAAUCUUGAUUUAACCACAUGACAAGCUCCUAAGGGUCUACACAGCUUGACCACACUCAAUGCUCAUAAGCAGUAAAAAGUAAAUGAAUGGUUCAUAGUCUAAUAAGCAUGUAUAUAUGGCUGUGGUAGGAAUUUAAACCUCAUCAUACAGGAACUCAUCAUGUAACAUUUUAAAGAUUUUUAAAGAUAAAAUUCUCCAGAAUUCUAGCAUCUCUAGGAAUAGAUAAACAGCAGCUCAACCUUCCCAUAUCGUAUCCGUUAACGACUUAGACUUUAGAUCAAGUACUCUCCCCACAAGUUCAGGUUUAGAGCAAAUCUUAAUUAAUACCAGUCAUGCCUAAACUUGAGAGAGAUUUCAAUUUUAAGAACUAGUCAUGGUAGAGCAACUAUUCAUCAUUUCCAUGUGAGAGCUUAUCAUGAAUGUUCAUAGCAAACUUUAUUUAUUUAUUUAUUUAGCAAACUAAGCAAAGAUAUAUAUAAGCACAAAAUCUUUAUUUGGGUUUUUAUGAUUAUGCAUCUUUUUAUUAUGUGAGUAAAGUAUAAACAUGAGUAGAACACUUAGCUGGAUAAAUGGGGGUGCUCUCCCCCAAGCUGGAUUUUGCCGUAAUUCCUUCUAAUGUAGCUAGCAGGUGGCGGAGGUGUAUUUGAAUGUUGGCAGCACCCUGACAGUGAUUAGGAUGUCCUCCGUCUGCUAGUCUUCUUUGAUCCUUGAAUUCUGUGGAGCUCAAAUAGACAACAAAGCUUUGUGGAACUAGUUAAGUGUUAGCAUAAAUAUCUAGCCUUCAUCAUGUUGAGCCUCCUCUAUAAAUGUUACUCUCUUUAGUAGGAUCAUAAAUUUAUUUUUGUAUUUUUAUUUUUAUAGGAUAUGAAUAUAUAUUUAUUUCAUUUUUACGCCACCACAGUGAAUGUACUUAUGGGUUUUAUGCCAUGAGCAUACUCACAUGGGGCUUACUAUUUUUAACAUUUUUAUUUUCUUUUCAAGAUGAUAUGAACCUGGUUAACCAAGCAAACUAUUUUAAAUAGUUGAAAGAAAAAAGAUAACUACCAAGUUUACCUCUUGGCAAGGCGUUCAAUGUUUUUAAGUCCUCCGAACGGGACUUUCCGUUUUCUUAGUUGUCCUGGGAUUCGCUGGAUGGCGUAGUCGGUGGUUCCGGCGGCGCCUGCUCUUCAUGUAUAACUAUCUUCUCUCUACACACCUGACUCGGUGCUACGGUCUCCUCAGAACAGUUCUGUUCAAGUUGUAUGCCUUGAGACCUUAUCACUUCUCCUUCGUAGUCUGCCCAUCCGUCCUUGAUGAUUUGCCUCCUCUGGUUGCGGUUGCGUCGUCUUCUUCUUGUCCUGACCUGCUUAGAAUCUUCAACACUUCAUGUGUGUCUCUCUUUGUCUCCAAUGUGAGUUUAUCUCAGGACUUCCCAGGUCGAUAUUGAAAGUUUUCCUGCAGGGGUUAGUCCAACAAAAUAUACCAAUGUCUACACAAGCAGUUUUUAGUUCAAUAACCAAACUAGACUCCAUGUCUAAUUAGAUUAAGGAAGGCUGUUUAACCUAAGCACCAUGCUUAAUUUAAAAACCAAUAGAAGUAUGUACAGUACUUCCAAACUAACACUUACUAGGAUAAACAAAGGUAGCGUGAUGGCUUUUAUAGAGAUCUACUCAAGUGGAGAUGAAGUAGUGUGAUUAUUAUUUAACAAAUUGAGCAUGUCUCAAAGGUAGGGACAACCAACAUAGCAACAUGGCAAAUGAUGUUUUUAUAUAAAGUACUCCCCCAAGCUUGAAUUUUGCAAAAUUCAAGUUUGGAUGAAUUUAAUUCAAUGUUGUAUGAUGAUUGGUUGUACAUACCUUGUGCUUGUCAUUCAUCCGAUCUUCUUGCUCCAAUCCUAGAAAGGUUAGUGACAAGAAUACCCGAAGGAAUUUUUUUACAAUUAUCCUUAUAUGCUCAAUACACAAGGUAAUGUUGCAAAUAAUUAAAAGCUCAUGUUACGAUCUGAUCAGUGCUUGUUUUAGGACACUAAGAUUGUCCUUGGGAAACCAUCAAUUUAUGUCGGUGAAGUGGUUUUCCCUCCAACACCAACCUAUAUCAAGAUCAACUCAACG